Long non-coding RNA from Pezoporus occidentalis (night parrot), 376 nucleotides. RefSeq lists it as uncharacterized. NCBI's taxonomy places the organism in Eukaryota, Metazoa, Chordata, Aves, Psittaciformes, Psittacidae. The transcript is spliced from 2 exons. The record is from RefSeq and is a predicted model, not a curated record.
UGAAGAUACUUCCAAAAUUCGGUUCACUGUGACAGUCAGCUACUCUUUCUUUUAGCAUUUGGCUCCACCUUCUCUCUUCCUACUGUUUACAGAUACUCAGUACUCAACAUCAAGGCAGAAGCCAAGGUGAGAAAAAAAUUACUGAAGCUUGAUCACAGCGAUAGCCUCAAAAUCCUUGCCUGGGCUCAGACUCCCUUUCCUCCCAGCUUCACAUGUAUAGAAGUUAACAUAUUUGUUAUAUGCUGAUUCUUUUUAAUGUUUCAGCAAUGAUUAGUGAUACAGACACUUGACAGGAAUAAUGGCUUGAAAGCUUUCAGCUCUUCUAAUCCUGCUGCAGAGCAUGCAACCUCUCAAAGGAAAAAAAAGAAAUCAGAAA